CGUGAGAUGUUGGGUUAAGUCCCGCAACGAGCGCAACCCUCAUCGCAUGUUGCCAGCGUAAAGUCGGGCACUCUUGCGAAACUGCCCGUGUAAGCGGGAGGAAGGUGGGGAUGACGUCAAGUCGGCAUGGCCCUUACGCCUGGGGCUACACACAUGCUACAAUGGCCGGUUACAAAGAGCCGCAAGACCGCGAGGUGGAGCAAAUCUCAAAAACCCGGCCUCAGUUCGGAUUGCAGUCUGCAACUCGACUGCA
This 253-nucleotide ribosomal RNA is filed under the name uncultured bacterium. Its description in RNAcentral is "partial 16S ribosomal RNA". It matches the Rfam family "Bacterial small subunit ribosomal RNA", at positions 1066 to 1320 of the family's 1533-position model. The record is from RNAcentral.